Molecule: ribosomal RNA, 521 nt
Filed under: Fusarium oxysporum f. sp. ranunculi
Lineage: Eukaryota; Fungi; Ascomycota; Sordariomycetes; Hypocreales; Nectriaceae
Description: eukaryotic LSU rRNA
Rfam family: 5.8S ribosomal RNA (bases 171-324)
Source: RNAcentral
GUGACCAGCGGAGGGANCAUUACCGAGUUUACAACUCCCAAACCCCUGUGAACAUACCACUUGUUGCCUCGGCGGAUCAGCCCGCUCCCGGUAAAACGGGACGGCCCGCCAGAGGACCCCUAAACUCUGUUUCUAUAUGUAACUUCUGAGUAAAACCAUAAAUAAAUCAAAACUUUCAACAACGGAUCUCUUGGUUCUGGCAUCGAUGAAGAACGCAGCAAAAUGCGAUAAGUAAUGUGAAUUGCAGAAUUCAGUGAAUCAUCGAAUCUUUGAACGCACAUUGCGCCCGCCAGUAUUCUGGCGGGCAUGCCUGUUCGAGCGUCAUUUCAACCCUCAAGCACAGCUUGGUGUUGGGACUCGCGUUAAUUCGCGUUCCCCAAAUUGAUUGGCGGUCACGUCGAGCUUCCAUAGCGUAGUAGUAAAACCCUCGUUACUGGUAAUCGUCGCGGCCACGCCGUUAAACCCCAACUUCUGAAUGUUGACCUCGGAUCAGGUAGGAAUACCCGCUGAACUUAAGCAUA